GAUGAACGCUGGCGGUGUGCCUUAAGCAUGCAAGUCGAACGGCAGCACGGGUGCUUGCACCUGGUGGCGAGUGGCGAACGGGUGAGUAAUACAUCGGAACGUACCUUAUCGUGGGGGAUAACGCAGCGAAAGCUGUGCUAAUACCGCAUACGCCCUGAGGGGGAAAGCGGGGGAUCGAAAGACCUCGCGCGAUUAGAGCGGCCGAUGCCUGAUUAGCUUGUUGGUGGGGUAAAAGCCCACCAAGGCGACGAUCAGUAGCUGGUCUGAGAGGACGCUCAGCCACACUGGGACUGAGAGACGGCCCAGACUCCGACGGGAGGCAGCAGUGGGGAAUUUUGGACAAUGGGGGGAACCCUGAUCCAGCAAUGCCGCGUGAGUGAAGAAGGCCUUCGGGUUGUAAAGCUCUUUUGUCAGGGAAGAAACACCGGCUCUAACACAGUCCGGGAAUGACGGUACCUGAAGAAUAAGCACCGGCUAACUACGUGCCAGCCGCCGCGGUAA
RNAcentral lists this ribosomal RNA (501 nucleotides) under uncultured bacterium. RNAcentral's name for it is "partial 16S ribosomal RNA". It matches the Rfam family "Bacterial small subunit ribosomal RNA", at positions 28 to 523 of the family's 1533-position model. The record is from RNAcentral.